This 334-nucleotide ribosomal RNA is filed under the name uncultured eukaryote. RNAcentral's name for it is "partial 18S ribosomal RNA". It matches the Rfam family "Eukaryotic small subunit ribosomal RNA", at positions 1470 to 1796 of the family's 1831-position model. The record is from RNAcentral.
CCCUUAGAUGUCCGGGGCCGCACGCGCGCUACACUGAAGGAAUCAGCGUGGCUUUCUCCCUGACCCGAAAGGGUUGGGAAACCCGUUGAAUCUCCUUCGUGAUAGGGAUUGGGGCUUGACAUUGUUCCCCAUGAACGAGGAAUUCCCAGUAAGCGCGAGUCAUAAGCUCGCGUUGAUUACGUCCCUGCCCUUUGUACACACCGCCCGUCGCUACUACCGAUUGAACGGUUUAGUGAGGGCCUCGGAUUGGUCUCGGCCCGCUCUUUACCGGGCGGCGCCGUUGGUCGAGAAGACGCUCGAACUUGAUCGUUUAGAGGAAGUAAAAGUCGUAACA